AGCCAACAGAUGUGUAUGCACGACUACCGAGGGGAGAAAUGGUGAAUGAAUGAAUACACACACACAUACAUACAUGCAUUUGUGUAUGCAAACAGCAAGCAAGCAAGCUGACGAACUGUCAGACCAAACUGACUGCUUGACUGCCUAGUUCAAUCAGCAGCGACAGCCAAGCAUUUCUACAUAUGAGUACCUACGCAGCUCAGCACCAAGCCGAACACAUUGAUAUGUGUAUUCGUAUGUUUGUAUGUGUGUGGCAGAUACAUUUUGUGUAUGCCGCCGUACACAGGCAGUUUAGCUGCUUGUAUCUUGUAUCUUACAAUCGGCAUUGUUGUUAAAACUGCCACCACCACCAGCCGCCAGCCGCCAGCCAACAGCGCCACCAGAGCCACAGCCGUAGUCAGAGCCAACAGCGCCGAGUAGUGACUUUACGCAUUUUCUACAUUUUGCCUGCAAGAACACAUAACGACCUACACACGUACACACACAUACAUACGUGCGGGCACAUACGAGUGCCCAGAACUCACAUAAUUUCCAUCGAAAAACACGCAUUUGCGCUCGAAAUGGCUGCGAAAUGGAACGAGUAGAUUUAUCGAUGUUCGGAUGGAUGGAUGGAUGACCGGACAAAUGGAUGGCUGCAUGAUUGCACGGCGGCGCACAUGAGCACACACAAACAUAUAGCAUGCAAGCAGCGCAGAUAAGUGAAUACAAAUAUGUAUGUUUGUCGGUAGCUAAGCAGCCAGACGAAAUUACAAGUGGGCGGAUAGCUGAAGACGAAGGCGAAGAAGACCUUUCCAUAUGACAAAGACUCCAACGCAUACCACAGAGACGCGUUAGCAGUGAAAAGCAUAACCACAUCUAUAUACAUAUGUAUGCAUGUGUGUGUGUGGUGGUGUAAACCGAAAAGUGUUACCUCUGCAGAGUUAGUCCAACUGACAAUUGUUGUAAUUCACAGAAAGUUAGCUCAACCAUUCGGUAGAUAGGCUGUUUGCUUUGAAAGCGCUUAUUAGCGAAAGGGGGUUCCCUACCGAUCCAAACCUACAGGCAGCCGUACUGGUUUCCUUCAUAGCGUAAUGAUUCCUGCUUAAGAAAUCGCUUAGCACCGAACAUUUACAACCACUUAGUAGUUGGCUGAAGUAGCACCUGGAAAUGCUGGAAAGUUUAAUAGUAGCGGAAAAUUAAGUCAUCGUAUUUACUUGUAAUGUCUCAGCUGUAAAAUGAGUUGCUGGUUAAAAAAUAAACAAUUCGGUCAUACACUUUAUUUUGUUGCUGUCGCAAUCAUUCUCAGUAGGGGAGCAGAUUGCGGUGUUUGUAGUACUACUGCCAAGCUAGUUCUACGAGUGCCACAGUCCAUAAAGACUCGGACCAUGAAAGCCACGUGAGUAUAAAUGCAGAAAAAGAACUUCUAGGCUCUUCUGAGAAGGUGACCGAGGGCUGCAAGUCUGGCAACAAGUGACGGCAAAAGCGUAGUACAAGACGGCGGUCAAGAUAUGCAAUCGACUGAGGUCAUAAGUCCAACCGGAAGGAAGAGGGGGUGACACCCGGCCGGGCACAGUUCGCUACUCGUUACUAGUGCAAUGCCUCGGAUCCAACGUUUGCGAAUCGCAUUGAGGAGCAUAUCACUGAAAAGAGACAGCGUUCGACGGAGAGCGAACCGAACAUGCAGAUUUUUUCCGUUGCUUUUUAUUUACGGUUUUCAAUAGAUCAUUCCUGAGUAGUAAGUUCGAAUAUAACAAGGAAAAAAAUAUUACUAUAUGUAAAGAACACUGAAAAUAGUUAGACAUAUUUUAGGAAAGAGUUGCUAACUUUCGAAAAAAAUAAAAAAUAAGAAAUAUAUUAAAAAAUGUGUACUAAUAAUUGAGUGUUUAAGAGAGCAUUCCUUUUAAAAUCUAUAAUUUAGACAUAUGUGCAUAUUUUGGUAUAGAGAAGAUACUCAAAAUGUGUACCAAACGGUUAUAAUUAAGCAUUCGAAAGAAAAUUUUCUUAAAUUAGAAAUAUUUUGGAACAGGGUUGCCACUUAAUGGAGCUAUAAAAAAUUAAAAAAAUAACCAAAUCAAUGCCAAAUAUAAGGCACAGAAAAUUUUUGUAUAAUAUAUAUUUUUUUAAUUAUUUUGGAACAGAGUUGACACCUAUCUAAAAAAGUAAAACUGAGAAAUGUGUGCUUAAAGUGUUUAUAAAGCAUUUUAGUGAA
This is a long non-coding RNA of Bactrocera oleae (olive fruit fly), 2188 nucleotides long. RefSeq lists it as uncharacterized. NCBI's taxonomy places the organism in Eukaryota, Metazoa, Arthropoda, Insecta, Diptera, Tephritidae. The record is from RefSeq and is a predicted model, not a curated record.